Molecule: unclassified non-coding RNA, 8624 nt
Filed under: Penaeus monodon (black tiger shrimp)
Lineage: Eukaryota; Metazoa; Arthropoda; Malacostraca; Decapoda; Penaeidae
Description: leucine-rich repeat flightless-interacting protein 2- like, transcript variant X7
Source: RNAcentral
UAAUAUAAAAGAUAUUGCACUGCAGACUGCUGUGUAUUUAUGAAUUAAUAUUUAAGAUAAACAAAGAAUAACUUGCUGUGACACAGGUUGUGCUCAUGUGAUCAAUAGUGAACAAGAGAUAUCACAGAAGACCUUCAUGUAAUUUCAUGGGCUGACUGACAAACGGCUCAGAGUCCAGAACAAUGAGCAAGUUAUUUCCAAUGUUCAAGAAGAAGGGGAGGGGGAAGGAAGAGGAGAUAGAGGAUGAGACAAAGAAGAAGAAGAGAGGUAAGACAGGAAAGGGAAAAGAGGAGAUUAUCAGUUCCUCUCUUCCAUCCCUGUCCCCCUCUUUCUCUAAAGCAGGUAAGAAGAAGAAAAAGGAGAAAGAUGCAAAGCAGAAAGAGUUGUCGUUUGGGAAGGAGAAUCUUUUUGUGACAGACAUGGAGGAACUGCAGAACAGAGAGUUCUAUAUUGACGAUGAUGGUUCAGUGAAAACGGGGCCCAGAUUGGAAGUGACAAGUUUUGACGUGUCUUUUGAAGAGGAAGUCAUUAGCAUCCCAAGAGGAAAGGGCAGUGUCACGGAAGGGGACCUGGAAAUUGAUGUCCAAAUUGAUGAGGAGAGUGUGGUCAGCUUAAACAGGGAUGAUAGUGCAUCCGAAGAGAGUGGAAGUAGAUUGGGUUACGAGGAUGGUGACAUUUCCGGAAAAAGUUUUAAUGUUGUUGGGGGGUUCUCUGAAGAUGUUUUUGAGGCAAGCACAGACUUGUUUAAAGAUUCUAAUGUACCUGAUGAAGAAGGAGAUGGUGAGGAAAUCUUGGCAAAUAUCAGUGGAUCAUCUGAAAACACAGACCUUAUGAUUACUAGUCAUUGUGAGGAACGAAGUCCUGAUGCGAGACACGAAGAAAAAGAAGAUUCGGGCAUUAGCGUAAAGGAUCUCUCCCCUCCAGAGCUGGACAGAAGUGGUUCAUUGGAGGAGUUAUCUUCUGAGAGAUAUGCUAAUAUGAAUGGAAAUUCAGAAGCAGCAGCAACUUGUAACAUUGAAAAUGGAGAAUUGCCUGAUAUGGAGGACACAAAGGGUACUGAUGAGGAUACCAUUAGUGUUAGUGCUUGUUCUGCUGUGAAGGAAGAUAAGUCAGUGGUUGUGAUCUCAAGUAAUGAAGAAACUCAGGAAGUAAGUCCAUCUCAAGUUUUGCCUCAAAGGGAAAAUGACCCAGCUGGAAAUGAUAACAGUGGGGAUACAGUAACACCAGAGGCAGAGGAUGAACACACCAAGGAUGACCAAAGCCUGUUAAGCAGCCAGGAUAGUGAUGAAGACUUUGAUUCAGCUCAGGAAGAUUGGGAUGAAGCAGACGGUGGGGAACAGAAGGAGAUAAGUCCUGAAGGGUAUAAGUCAGGUUUGUUGGAAGGCAGUUUAGUCAGAGAUCAUGAAAUUGAAUUAGCUGAGCAGGGUAAAUCACCAUCAGUUGAUCUGCUCUUGAAUGAAUCGGUUAAUAGUGCCAUGAUACAUAGGAUUGAGGAGAGUGAAAAUGUUAGGGAUAUACAAAGGGAAAUCAGCAGUGGUUCUUCCCAAUUUGAAGAUGCUGCUUUUAUGCAGGAGAAUCCAGAUGCUGUUGGCAUUAACACAGUGGUUGAAGCCUAUAAUGAUGUUACAGUUGAUGCUAAGGGAGUUGAAAGAAGGAAUUCCCUAUCAAAGGAAAAGCUUGUUCGAAAAUUGUCAGGUGUAUCAACAACCUCUAGUGAUGCCUUCAAUGAGGAGUUAGAUGAGCUUUUGGAUGAAGAACUAGACAGAUUGUCAGAGGAGGAGGAAGGAUUAGAGUCAGAGGACAGCCAGUCCCUGAAGACAUGCCAGUCCUCAUUAGGAGAGGUCCUUGCAAGCAGCCAAGAUGCCAGUCUUUCUGAGGAUAUUUGUAAGGCUAGUGAGGAAGAUCUUAAAGUUGAGGUUGAGUUGUCAGGAGAUUCUCCAGUUGUUCCUGACACACCUGAGAAUAGGAUAGAAGAUAGUGAAAUCAAAACAGAAGUAACUGACAUUGAUGUCAAUGAUGGUAAAGCAGAAAUCUAUGACUUAUCACCUGAAAGCAGUACUAGCUUGAAGAACAGUGCCAGUUCACCAGACAUAGCCAAGACCUCACUUCUAAACCCUGAUGAAGGAACUGAGUUAGUGAAGGACAGUGGUUAUUAUAGCCUCCCUGUAUCACCUAAGCCUGGUAUAGACCUGCGUGAGAAUAAGGAUAAUGCCAGUGUGGCCAACAAGGGUGAUGAUUCUUUUGUUGAUAGUGAGGAAGAGGGCAUGGUCACCCCUCCCAGUGAAACCACAUUGGUGAAAGAUGAUUCUUCACAACAAAAGGAAGGUGACGAUUGUGUGGAUGAUAAACAGCCUCAGAAUGGGUCAGCUCAUGAUGAAUCAACUCUUCUCUAUCAGUCUUGUCUUGAAAGCAAUGAACCUGAAGAUACUGAAAAGAUAGAUAAGAUAACAGAUAGCAACAAUGACAUGCAUAGUGAAACUGAAAUUUCAGAACAUUCCAACUCAAGUACAAGUAGAGGUAAAAAUCUUGAGCUUCACAUUCCAAAGGAUGUAACCACAGAAUUUAAAGAGGAAACCAGUUCUCCAAGUUUGGGAACACCAACCAAAAAUAGACUGAAAUCUCCAAUUCCUGAAAAUACACCACUGAAGGCAGACAGUGGUUCUCUGACAAGUCCUGAUCCUGUUGGAGACAGGUUCUUGGCAGUAGCUGUUUGCCAAUCACAUGAUGAAGCUGAGGCCCGGCUAGCCCAACGACGAGCAGCACGUGCAGAAGCGAGAGAACUGAGACUACGAGAACUCGAAAAGCAGCAGCAGGACCAAGAAAAUGAAGAGGAAAAGCAAUUUGGGACUCCUGCUUUUGCAGAGGCCGAGGAAGAUGAAGAGGAGGAUGAGGAUGAUGAGGAGGAAUCCCAAGAGCCUUCACCCAGAGCGGCUGCCCCCACCCGGACGCCACUCAGUCGCACGGGGGCACUCAGCAGCGCGGGGCAGUUCUCCAGAAGGUCAUCAGAGGACUCCACCACUGAUGACUCCGCUCUUCCAGCCAACGUGAGGGAGAUGAGGGCCGAAUUGAAAGAAUUAGACGAAAAAUUCCGCAAGGCUAUGAUAACUAAUGCACAGUUAGAUAAUGAAAAAGCGACUCUAACAUUUGAAGUAGAACUUAUGAAGGAUAAGUAUACUGAGCUUGAAGAAACACAUACACAGUUAUCGAAAGAGCAUAGGAAGAAGUGUACUGAAUAUGAACAACUUAAGAAAGUAGCAACAAAGUUACAAGAAGAAGUUAAAGCUCUUCGGGCUUUGUUACAAGAAAGAGAUGCGUUAAUACAGGAAUACGGCUUGGUGGUGGUUGGUGAGGAAGAGAAUGGAGAAGCGGAUAUUCCCGUCAAGGAUGAAGACGAUGAGUUUGCUGAUAUGGAUGACCUCACACCUAGGAAAAUUGCUGUGAAGAAGGCGCUGCUUUCUCAGGAAGCAGCCGACUUGCUCAGCAAAGGGGCUGCUCAGGAUUCAUUAGAUGUUAGGCUAAAGAAGUUUGGCGAAGAGAAGAAGGAACUAGAAGACCAAGUUAGAAGAUUGAAGCUCGAACUUGAGGAGGAAAAGAAUAAGAACAGAAGAAGAAAAGAAAAUGGUUUAGACUAUGACAGGCAAAGUGGCAAGGCUGGAUGCUCUCUCGGCUCGAUAUAGGACCCAAUCGGAAGAACUAGAGAAGAGUGAAGAGGAACUAAAAUCGGAAAAGCGGAAAUUACAACGGGAACUAAGGGAUGCCCAGAAUAGGUUAGAAGAACUGGAAACCACCAAUAGCCAUCUAAUAAAACGGUUUGACAAGUUAAAAAAUGCCAGAUCCACCCUGCUCAAGGACCUGUCCCAAGACCCUGCCUGAGGAGCUGGGCAGACCUGCAGCCUCUCCUCCCAAGGACCUCCGACCUCUCCUCCCGCCAAUCUUCAACUUGUAGGCCACGAUGACACCCAAAACCUGUUGGGGAAGCUUGACGAAGUUCCUGGGUGAAUAGUGCUUAUGGGCUAUUCAGUGUGAUACAAUGUUACUAGGAAUGUAGGUGUUGACUGCAUAUUAAGAGAAGAAAAAAAAUAAGAAAACAGUUCUCUCUCACUCUCUCUCUUUGUUUUUUGUUUUUUUCAUUAUCAUUAUUAUUAUUAGUGUGAUGGAAAUAUGGUACUACCUAGUAAUGAGGUUAUUUAGGAAUUAUAAUAAUAAAAGUUAUUUGAGUUGUGUACAUGGACGUAUUGUGUAAUACAGCAAUAUGUGAAUGGUUUUAUGAUAUAAUCUGCCUUCAGAUUGCUUGUUUGCAGAAAGUUGCCAGUUGUUACAAGUUGAAGGCUUGCUUACUGAGUAUCCCACAGUAACUACUUAAUAAUCAGUGCCCCCCCCCCCCUUCUCUCUUUCUCACAGCCCCUCCCCUCCCCCUUCACCUUAUCAAAAUCUCUGUGAUUAUGUUAAUAUAUGAUGGGUGGAUACUUUAGACCAUGUUAAAGAAUAUAUGAAACAAUGAUAAUAACUGAAAAAUAAAAGGAUGCCUUUGUGCCUCAAGAACCUUUAUAGCUUUUGAAGUUAUUAUGCCUCAGGUGAUGAGUCUGCCUUCUUGGGUGGGUUAACAGUUGAUGAUGCUUUAACCAGGGCUGUUUUUAUACAGCAUCAUCUCAGGCUAAAGUGAUCUUUGUUAAAGCAACCCAAACUGAAGCUUUACUGUACUUGAAAACAGGGCUGAAGCUGCCACUGCCUAGUUGGUUGGACACUUGUUAUACACUGUCAACCUUGGGGUCAAUACAGAGUGUGUGAAGCCUGGAAAUUUUUGUUGAAUCAGGUGAUCAGUGAGUUACUAUUAUUUGUUUUUUGGCUUUUUAUUGAUUUUAGAUAUUAUUGCUAUUAUUAGUAUUGUCAUUAUUAUUAUCGUCAGCUUAAUUCGGUUUUAUUUUUACUCGUGAAAGUUAUUUGCUAAGAAUUACUGAGACCAUUUUGACAUUAUUUUUCAUUUCUUUUCCAUUUUUAGGAUCUUAAAUUGCCUUGCUUCCACCUGAAACAGCAUUAGGUUUGUUCUAGUGUUAUUAUUAUUAUUUUUUUAUCAAUUUAUUUUCAUCUGUGUUUUUUCAAUAUUCAUUUUCUUCCCUGUACCUUUGGAGUGCAUCCUUAUAGCCAGUAAUUAUAAUCAUAUUCAUGUUUGCAGAGUGAUGUCCAUAUUUCCAAUGGACUUCCUGUUUUUUUUUCUCUCUCUCUCUCUCUUUUUUUCUUUCCACCAUAAAUAUAUAGAUAUAUUUUAUGCGCGUGGAGUGUUAAUACCGUUUGGAAUUUAAUGUGAUAAUUUUUAGAAAUGUGCCACUGUGCCGUUGUUCCUGUCCGAGCACAUCAUGUCCAUUUUAAAGAACAAUAGAUUAUGGUUGGUUGGUUAGUAUAUUUAUUUAUAUUAUUGUCCAAAAAAAGAGAAGAAUUUGUAUGUUGUUAUUAUAUCCAUUGUUGUUCUCAUUAGUGAGGAGAAAGGAGUGGCCAGAAGUUGCUACACAGGUUCAGUGGUCUCCCUCUCUCACAAGUGUUGCACAAAACAAAUUUACUUUAUGACAAAUGUUAUUUAUUGUUACAUGUGAUUGAAGCUUCUGGCAUUGUUGAGCAUAAUCGAGAAGUGGAUCAUUCCUCCCUGCCAUAACAGGAAUGCCCUAAGUGCAAAGGGCCAAACUAUGAGCAGCCAGUGCUUUAUCCUUCCAAACGUGCUAACCUAUCACACAGAUUUAUGCAUGUCCCAUUUGGUGCAGGAAAGCACUCAAGUCAGCCUACAAGGAAUCUACAAAGAAAGAACAAAGAAAAUGCAACUUAUUUUCAUUUAGAUCCAGGGAAAUACUGUACACUUUCUCAGUCAUGCAGAGUGAUGAAAUGUCUUCAGUACACAUACCAGCAGAAUUUCUCAUCAUGGUUACUUAAGUCUUAAAACACAGAUACAAAGUCAGAAUGCUGACACUGCUUUCACUUCAGGAAAAAUAUAAAUAUAGACCUAUAUAUAAACACAUCUGCAAGUUUCAUCAGUUGAAGUUGGUGGUAGAAAACUCCAUGAGCAGCAUCUUAGCUCACACUGAUGUUGCAUUAACCCAGUGAUGAAUGCCCACCAUACCAUACCAGGUACACAUGUCAGGGUCAGAUGGCCAGAGCCUCGUGCAGUCCCGUGCAGUCAAGAAACUCAAGUGUGAAUCUUUGGUGUAAAUCAAAGCUGAGCCUCACUUACCUCAACCAAGGCUGAUGGUCUUCAAUGACUUCACAGAGGAACGUGCAUGCCAAAUAUUGUUCAGGUGGUGGGGAGCUUCAACUAACCCAGCUCUUAGGGACCACUUAGGCAACAGCUGACAGAGAUCGCCUCGAAGCACUUGGGUGUUUACGUAAUAACCCUGACUGUCCCUGGCUCAACCUAGAGCUGGUGGUUAGUUAGUGUUGCAAGAUCGAAGUGGUUCAGAAAAUGGGUUAGCAUUUAUAAAAUAGAUAAAGUAGAUAUAUUUGUCCAGGGUCAUCAGAUUAGUUUGGUUUCUCUAUUUUGAAAAAAGUUGAUGUAGUACUUACACAUUUGGUGAGAAAUUGACCAAGAAAUUCAUGGCAUUCAUGUUGAUGAUUGCCAGUUAUUUUGAUAGUUGUUUGAAUAAUUUCUAGUUUUAUCUUAUAGUUUGAGCUUUUCAUUUGUCCAAAAAGAAGGAAGGAAAUGUUAAAAGGUUAGAUAGAACCACAGAUUUCAAGACUAUCCAAUGACAAGAGUGAAGUAUGAAGAGCUUUUUUGAUCAUGAGCUAAAAAGAAAAUGUAAAUAGGAUCAAAUCAGCAUUGGGCCAAUUAGUAUCGUAUUAGAGAAACUCAUAUUUUUUCUAUUGAGAUACCUAUUUUUGGUCUUCCAACUUUUUAUUUCUGAAAGGGUCUGCAUGUGAAGGUUUUGUGUCGUGAUGUGAGGUUGAAGUUCAAAGUGAAGUGCUUUGUCCACAAGGAGUUUUAGACGAAGUCAGUCUCUCUUAUUUAUCAAGCUAGCGUGUGAUGAUUAUCUUGCAUAAAGAAAGGGGAGGAAGAUGCUUCUUCUUUCCUACUUUUGAAAGUUUUGCUUUCGUUUGGAAGGCGUUUUGCUUAUGAUGUACUGGUACUUAUUUUCUUACAGGGGUUCUGGCAUGGUCAUUAAUAAGUGCCAGAUAUGUAUUUAUUAGUGCUCACGUAACAUGAUUUUAUUUUAUUUUAUUUGCACAGUGUGCCAUGUUAUUGUUUUUAACUGCAUAAUUGAUUAAAGGCACAACAUCAGAGAUAUGUUAAAUGUUAGAGGAAUAUUUAUAUAUACAAAUAUAUAUAUAAAAGAUGACAAUCGUAAAAGAUCAGUUGGAUAUAAUUUAAGAGAAGGAAUUUCAAAAGCUCUUUGUGUUGCAGACCCUUCUAACAAUAGGUCGAAGUACCCUUGAGGGACUCGAGCCUGUUGCCAGUCAUAGCUGUAACUUCAUGCUCAGUGUGCCAAUAGAGGAUUCUGUUGGCCCCAUGCUAGCAGGAGUGCUCAAGGGUAGUGUUCUAAAGGUUGUUUGCAUCAAGCUAUUUUGCUCCUGGAGGAGGAGGCCCAGACGAUGAAGUAUGUAGUCAGAUUUGGUAAUUUCUUUGGCAAUGUGAGUGCGAACAAAGGACAGUUUGUUAGUGUGAGUGCGCGAUUGUGAAUGCAUGCAUGCCAGCCAUGUCUGUGAAAAUGUUUUGACUGUUCCAAAUUACAUUGCCCAAGCAAUUACUGGUACUAUUUUUUAUAUUUCACAGCCUGGUUUUAAAAAGUUGCUGUAAUUUUUUACGAAAUGGAGGAAAAUGCAAUAUUAUUUCAUUACUGAGAAACAUUGAUUAAACACAGCCAUUUAGCAUGUGUCUUGCUCAUGAAGGUUGCAUACUAAUGAAAAAAGUACUGUGUGGGGACAGCUGAUUAUCAUCACCCAAAAUUUACUCCUUUGCAGCCAACAAAUGAUGAAAUUACCCUAAACUACUUAUUUAUUUAUAUACAUUUUUUUUUUUCUUGUAUACAUAAUAUGGAUAUUGGCUUCCUCUUGAUUAGUUUAGCUUCAUUCUUCCAUUUGUGAUAACCAACAUUUCUAAUCUUCCAGUUUAUAAUAACCAGUAAUGAGAGCUUAAAGUCUUUAGAUCUGCUUUUUAAACCUUUUCCCAAAGAGGCCGUAUUAUAUAUGAUGUAGUAGGCCCAUUCUUUUAACAAGAAAAACAAAAGCAAAAAGAAACAAAAAAAAAAAAGUGCUGAUAUUGAAGUACCUUUACAUUUUGUAAGCAACCAUUUUAGUUUUAUUUAUUUUACUUGUUUUAUUCCACAAUAUAUUUGCCACCAGCCACCAUCAGGCAAUAACAAAUGCAAAUUGUUUGUGAUACAAGGCUCGGCUUCCAUGCAGUCCUUCGGCCAGGCAGGUCGAAGGUGGAAUGCAUUUGGGGCUGCUGUCCGGUACACAUGUAAGGUGCUUCAACUUCUGGAUAAUAAAGAAAUAUCUGGCUUCACGUGUAGGUCAGUGAAGUGACCUAUAUUUGGCUUUAUGUAUAAAUUUGUGAAUGGCUUGAUUGUACAGAGUUGGAGAUGUGUAAAUAAUGGUCCUUAUUUCACACUGUGUAAAAAAUAGCAAAUAAAUUAAUACUGACCUUA